Molecule: ribosomal RNA, 253 nt
Filed under: uncultured bacterium
Lineage: Bacteria
Description: partial 16S ribosomal RNA
Rfam family: Bacterial small subunit ribosomal RNA
Source: RNAcentral
UACGGAGGUUGCGAGCGUUGUUCGGAUUUACUGGGCGUAAAGGGAGCGCAGGCGGUCUGCCAAGUCGAAAGUGAAAAUCCGGGGCUCAACCUCGGACCUGCUUUCGAUACUGUCAGACUCGAGUACGCGAGAGGAAAGUGGAAUUCCAGGUGUAGCGGGGAAAUGCGUAGAUAUCUGGAGGAACACCAGUGGCGAAAGCGACUUUCUGGCGCGUUACUGACGCUGAGGCUCGAAAGCGUGGGGAGCGAACGGG